CUAUACAUGCAAGUCGAACGAACUCUGGUAUUGAUUGGUGCUUGCAUCAUGAUUUACAUUUGAGUGAGUGGCGAACUGGUGAGUAACACGUGGGAAACCUGCCCAGAAGCGGGGGAUAACACCUGGAAACAGAUGCUAAUACCGCAUAACAACUUGGACCGCAUGGUCCGAGCUUGAAAGAUGGCUUCGGCUAUCACUUUUGGAUGGUCCCGCGGCGUAUUAGCUAGAUGGUGGGGUAACGGCUCACCAUGGCAAUGAUACGUAGCCGACCUGAGAGGGUAAUCGGCCACAUUGGGACUGAGACACGGCCCAAACUCCUACGGGAGGCAGCAGUAGGGAAUCUUCCACAAUGGACGAAAGUCUGAUGGAGCAACGCCGCGUGAGUGAAGAAGGGUUUCGGCUCGUAAAACUCUGUUGUUAAAGAAGAACAUAUCUGAGAGUAACUGUUCAGGUAUUGACGGUAUUUAACCAGAAAGCCACGGCUAACUACGUGCCAGCAGCCGCGGUAAUACGUAGGUGGCAAGCGUUGUCCGGAUUUAUUGGGCGUAAAGCGAGCGCAGGCGGUUUUUUAAGUCUGAUGUGAAAGCCUUCGGCUCAACCGAAGAAGUGCAUCGGAAACUGGGAAACUUGAGUGCAGAAGAGGACAGUGGAACUCCAUGUGUAGCGGUGAAAUGCGUAGAUAUAUGGAAGAACACCAGUGGCGAAGGCGGCUGUCUGGUCUGUAACUGACGCUGAGGCUCGAAAGUAUGGGUAGCAAACAGGAUUAGAUACCCUGGUAGUCCAUACCGUAAACGAUGAAUGCUAAGUGUUGGAGGGUUUCCGCCCUUCAGUGCUGCAGCUAACGCAUUAAGCAUUCCGCCUGGGGAGUACGGCCGCAAGGCUGAAACUCAAAGGAAUUGACGGGGGCCCGCACAAGCGGUGGAGCAUGUGGUUUAAUUCGAAGCUACGCGAAGAACCUUACCAGGUCUUGACAUACUAUGCAAAUCUAAGAGAUUAGACGUUCCCUUCGGGGACAUGGAUACAGGUGGUGCAUGGUUGUCGUCAGCUCGUGUCGUGAGAUGUUGGGUUAAGUCCCGCAACGAGCGCAACCCUUAUUAUCAGUUGCCAGCAUUAAGUUGGGCACUCUGGUGAGACUGCCGGUGACAAACCGGAGGAAGGUGGGGAUGACGUCAAAUCAUCAUGCCCCUUAUGACCUGGGCUACACACGUGCUACAAUGGAUGGUACAACGAGUUGCGAACUCGCGAGAGUAAGCUAAUCUCUUAAAGCCAUUCUCAGUUCGGAUUGUAGGCUGCAACUCGCCUACAUGAAGUCGGAAUCGCUAGUAAUCGCGGAUCAGCAUGCCGCGGUGAAUACGUUCCCGGGCCUUGUACACACCGCCCGUCACACCAUGAGAGUUUGUAACACCCAAAGUCGGUGGGGUAACCUUUUAGGAACCAGCCGCCUAA
Molecule: ribosomal RNA, 1446 nt
Filed under: Lactiplantibacillus plantarum
Lineage: Bacteria; Bacillati; Bacillota; Bacilli; Lactobacillales; Lactobacillaceae
Description: bacterial SSU rRNA
Rfam family: Bacterial small subunit ribosomal RNA
Source: RNAcentral